Daktulosphaira vitifoliae (grape phylloxera) is the source of this 5697-nucleotide long non-coding RNA. RefSeq lists it as uncharacterized. Lineage: Eukaryota; Metazoa; Arthropoda; Insecta; Hemiptera; Phylloxeridae. The transcript is spliced from 4 exons. The record is from RefSeq and is a predicted model, not a curated record.
UGCUCCGUCAAUGCUAAAAACGCGACGACUACCUUUGAUCGUUGUACGCGCCUAUGGCGAAGCGUACAGAGUGUGGCGCAACACUUGUGAGGAGGAGGUGGGGAGACUGCAACAGUCUGCGGUAAUCGUAUUGCUAAUGGUACACACACAAUAUUAGAUAUGAACUCAUACGAUAUUUCUACGCAGCCAUAAAAUAAUAAGCAGUGGCCGACAAGAUAAUAUUCGCAGAGUACACGGUUUUUUUUUUAUGGUAUUCAUUUCAAGUAUCCACAAACAUAGAGCGACUAUUAUGUGUUGCUAACAAACGGUGCUUAUUAAUAAAUUGUAAUUAAAAACACGCAUAACCCCACCGUUGAAAUUUCACAGCUGUGGCCCAAAGACAACACAACCGAUUCUUGUCCAACAGAAAAUUGUAUUCGUGUAUACAAAGCACUACGCCAACACGUUUGUCACGCCUACGAAGAUCAAUCGUUUGUGUGUAGAGUGUGUUUUACCGAAUCUAUGAAUUGGCGUUUAUUCGUUUGGACGACUCAACCGAUUACCGUUGACCGCGGCCGGAGAACCUCAACAGACUUGAUGUUAAUAUCACGUCGAACACACCGGCGAAGACAGGCCGAGUCGACGCCUACCAUACAACGACAUGUAUAGGAGGAUUGCGUAGAACAGAGGCACGCCCGGACACCGUUGAGUCAUUACGCGAAACGUGAUUACAAAUCAAACGGGGCCCCACCUGGUUAAAGCAAAAACAGAGUCAGGAGGAGGCUAUUUGAGGAUGAAAGUUCAGCACACGAAUUUUGAUUAUACAAUUCUCAAUCCAAACGCCGAGGACGUACUCUUGAGGUGGUAAUUGGAAGGGCUCUGCGAUAUUGUAAGCCGCAUAUUGUAUUGUGUGUUUUUUGUCUCUCAUCACAUGUACGGAUCGAGUGAUAAAUCGUGUCAGUUGAACUUAAAAAAAAAGUUAAUGCAUGAUCACUGACGCGUGUAAAAAGGAUUAGGAUUGAGAAAAAGGAUCGUAAUGUAAAAUUACAAAAAUAAAAUCAAACAUUUCGAGAAAAUUUUCAUGGCUUGUAAAAAAAGUAAAUAAUUUAUUCUUGACGUAAUGUUUGAUGGUGAAAACCAUCGCGCGCUAUUCAUUUUUUGUGUUAAUAUUAUUAUUAUUUUUGACAGCUAGUUUUGAAACUGAAAACUAAAAUCGGUAAACCUUGUAAUUAUUACUGAUGUCUUGUAAAAAUAUAACGAAAACAUGUCGAAUUGGCGUUAUGUUGUGUUGAUAUUCAUUAGGAAACACCGUAUCGAGUACGAUUACGUAGACAAAUUAAUUAUUUUAUGUUUUUCAAUAAAAUGGAAACAACUAGUACGAAAAAAAAAAUAUAUAUAUAUAAGUAAAAUAAUUUUUUUUAUUUACCUCCGUGCCGUCUACCGCAGAUCCCGGAGCGUCCGACGCCCCCACUCGAUACCUUCGUUUUGCGGCCGGCAACACAUUACCGAUGGGCGGAACGUGAUGGUUCAUCUCGUGCACGGUCAAGCUCUGCUUGAUGUCGGCCGAAAACGAACAGCUCGAACACUUGUACGCACCGUUGGCCGUAUGGUUCCGGUUGUGCCGGUCCAGGUUCCAUUUGUACGGUGUCCGGAAGUCGCAGUCGUCGCACUUAAUCAUUGGCAUCGUGUGGUACUUGACGUGUUUCGUGUACCGCGCUUUCAUGUGCGUCACGUAGUUGCACUUCAUGCACCGGAAGAAUUUCUUUUUCAGAUGGGCCACCUUCUCGUGCCGGUUUACCAGUAUCUGGCUGUGGCUGCCGAAUGGACAAACUGAACACCGCACGUACACGGUCCGAUCGUCGGUCGUGGACGGCUCUCGCCGAUGGUCCUGUUCGCGUUCGUCGUCGUCGUCGUCGUCACGCUCAGACCGCGUUUGAACAGGGACAGCCGACGCCGACAUCUUCGAUCGUUUAGCAGCCGACGGCACGGCGUUUCCCAUGGGCGCCCUGGCGUCCACCUUUUCGACUCGCUGCACCUUGAGCUUGUAUGCGGUGGCGGCGGCGGCGGCAGCCGCCUUGCCUUUGCCGGCCACGUGCACCAUUUGUAUGUGUCUCUGCAACUUUUGGCUGUGCUUGGACGCGUACAGACACUGUGAACACUCGUACACGCGGAUUUUUUCGGCGUGCACGUUUUUCUGGUGGAACAGAAAAAAUCUGGGAUUCUGCGUGUAGUAAUUGCACUUGGUGCACGCGUAGUUACGCUUCACCUUGCACUGCGGCAACGACGACGCAGUGGUCGACGCGUACGUUCCGCUGCCGUUUCUUCUGUCGUCCAUCCUGUGAUUGCGGUUGGCCUGGGAAGGCUUAAUGCGAGCCGCCAUCGACCGAGGCUCCCUCAGAAGUGUGGCCUUGGCCAUACUUUCACGACGGGUGUACCUGCAAAACAACAGAAAAUACCAUUAAACACACUCGGCGUACUCCGACGAAUAAUUACUGAUAAACAAAUAAACGUAUCAAAUGAAUGGACUUAGUAGCAUACUGAAUUUUAUGUAAUUCCAUGUAACACCAAUACAGAAAGAAAAUUCGAAACAUUUUUAAGCUGGUCAUAAAAUCGAAUAUUAUAAAAAUGUAACAGGAACUUUUUGAAAGGACACGACCAAAACUUCGCACAACCACAAAUAUAAUAAAAUAGCUUUAUAAAAACUUGUAAAGUUUUCUAAACGUUAUACGUCGUUAGCGAGCUAUUUAAAAACUUCCGGUUCUUCAUAAAAUUAUCCGUUUAAAUGGCCGUAAAAAAGAAAAGAAACAAACUAAAUGGCUUAUGUUUCAUUUCCAUUACGAUUCGAUUGAACACAGAAGUUACAAGGUGAAAUUGGAGACCUGUGGGCCAGUCGUUCUGUACUGUGACUUUACUUAUCGCGUACAUAUUAACAGCGGGUUUUGAAAACUGGGACGUUUUUAGUCAUUAAACCCAAUUUCGGUAGAUUAUACAUGGACUCGUUACGCGUACAAGUUAAAUCUACAGAAGAAGUGUAACUGGUGUGUAAGGUGAUCGUACAAAGUGACGGGAUGAAGAACAGCGUCGGCCGCUGCAGUUGACAGGAUGUUGGUGAUUUGGCGACUGUCGAGGUUUUGGCCGGACGGGCGAGUCUGUUCGAAAACGAUUUGCGCACAACGGAAGCGUGCAGGUGAAACGACGUCAGGGGGCGGCGGCAGCUGCAGAGGAUAAAUAUAGACGAAGAGGCGGCGGCGGCGGCGGCUGCCAUCUCGACUGCAAUAGCCGCCGCCGUACCACAAUAAGCGACACACGGCGAACCAUGUUUAGACACGGUGUAAAAACAGUUGGGCCAGCCCAUUUUUUAGGACGAUUUCGAAAAAAGAAUAAAAAACAUUCGACAAGUUUUCAGAGCGACCGCGGACGGCUCGCAACGAGGAGAUUCGUGUUUUGUUUUCACCCGUCGGCGGCGAGAUCCGUUCAGACGACGUCGGCCGUUUGCACACAAUACGCGCGCAGGGGAAUCCGUGUCAAGGUUGCGGCGAAACACAAACGGUCGUAAUGUGUGCGACAAUACGAACCGGCACCAAGACAAUAUGCGCGUAAUGACGAGUGGGUGGUGCUUUGAAAUAGUCCUAUGUAUAUUACAAAACACGUCGAGGAAGAGAACCAGAAGAAUAUUUCAUAUAGGUAAUUGCCGUACCGGCGUCCGUGGGUUUUAGGUUUCGGGUGCUACCCAAAGUCGAAUGAAAUAACUGAAUAAACGAAAACAAUUGCUGGGAAAAGCGAAAUACGCAGAGUAAUUCCGACCGACGAAAAGCCAGUUUUUCACCGUUCGUACACACAACGUAUGCGAUACAACGACACCGGACUACUGUUGGCAUACGCGGCAAAUAAACAUUUGGUCGGUACGAGCGCAUACCUGUCAACGUUUUACGUGUCGUGUUUUCAAUGGUACAAUGGAAACACUAAUAAUAAUUAUUGUUAUUAGUACUAACACACGCGUGUGUUUCUUACGGCCGAUGGCGCACACGUGGCGUAGUGUCGGACAACGGGUAGCGGCGUCAUAGCCGUUACUGCCAUGGCAAAACUUGCAUUGCCGCUGCUGACCGAGUGGUGUGUUUACCGUCUGACUUAUCGAUUGCCCCGACCUGGGCGCGUGUGUGUCAGCAGCCGAGAGGCGACACGGGCCGCGCGAGAGAUUGUCGUCGUUACGGAUGUGUCGAUGCGAAGAAACACACGUCGCGUUUAGAAUAAUAAAAUUAAAAAACCGCGACCUGAUAUCAAAAAAAGUCCAAUCGAGCGCACCCACCCAAACGGUGCGUGGAACGGUCUCGUAAAGUUUUUUUGUUUUUAAAACGUCCGUCAAACGAUUGUCCGGCCCGUGAUCAAAACAAAUUGACAGCAAACAACACGAUUGCAUGACAUAAUGCACACAAUAGAGAUGAUACACCGCUAUAAAACGAGUUACUAUCUGCAGACGUACAAGGAUUGCAGCUUCGACCAGAUGUGUAUAAUAUACAAACACAUCUGGACAAAUCCGCAACGAUAUGGGCAAGGCCAGAGCUGCAGCGCAGCGAUACGUCGUACAUUUACAUUCUCAAUAUCACACGAACGCCCAGUUUUUAAAUAAAAAUUUGGGUGUUUAUUUUCAGAUGGCCACAUCAAUUCUGAAACUGUUAUUUGACGCGGAAAAAAUUUGUUAUCCGAGACUUCGCACUCAUGACAGAAGAAAAAAGAAAAUGCCAUGAUAUAAAAAACGAACAUACAAAAGAAAAAAUUGUAGGGACACUUCAAUGGUACAUGUGUUCGUAAGUAAGGACACAGGUCAAUUGUUACAAACAAUGAGGACAAAAGAAACCCGUUUCCUUUCUUACUGAACACCCUGUAUACAUAUAUAUAUAUAUAUAAAUUUCGUUUAAUUUGUAUUCCUAAUGUUGUGUUUAUUUAAGGAAUUAUAAUUCAGAAUAAUUACUACACGCUAAUAUAUAAAUCUGUGACGGCGAUUCGUGUACCAAACUGGCGCACGGUGGACUGGCCUGUCUGGUCUAUAUUGUCUUGGAAUCGUGAACGUGUUCCUACAGUCGACGGAUAAGAACCGACCAACUACACCGAAAAUACCUGAAGCAACAAUUACUGUUGAACUUAAUUCCAUAGGUUACCAGUCGACUCUCAAUACCGUCGACUGAAACGCCAACACGGCUCGUAACCGGCAGCUGAAUUGAACGGCUAGUGGCGCAAGUUUCUCGCAGGUUUGCGGAGAAAUUUGAUAUCGUACACCGGCGCGGAGUGGUACGCGGAAUGUCAUGCGGUGCUCCUCUUCAUCUUCUUCUUGCAGUCGGCUUUCUCCUGGCGGCCGCACACACAAAAUGUUAUAAUGAAGCAAAAACGGCAAUAGAAAACGUUAACAGGCCGUGUACACACAUACUACGAAAUGUGUUUAUACCGAACGAGAAUAAGUUCAUGGAAUAGGUAGAGGCAUGUUUUGCCGAAAUAAUGAAUAAUCCGCUCUUUUAUUUUUUCUCGGAGAAUCUCAAAACUGUUUCUAAUUGUUUGGUGCGAGUGAACACGUGCAAACAGCAUUGAUCUCGGGACGCGUCGUUGAUGAAAAAACAAUACGAUCUUUGUGUAUUUAUCAGUCACCAAAUCGUAUAAACAUGUACUAUAAGUUUUACUGAAAUGUAGUAAAGAACAAUAAAACUAUUUUGAUCGAAAAACAAAAAA